GAGGGUAUAGCUCAUGUGGUAGAGCGCAUGCUUAGCAUGCAGGAGGUCCUGGGUUCAAUCCCCAGAACCUCCU
RNAcentral lists this transfer RNA (73 nucleotides) under Camelus bactrianus (Bactrian camel). It matches the Rfam family "tRNA". From Rfam's summary of the family: Transfer RNA (tRNA) molecules are approximately 80 nucleotides in length. Their secondary structure includes four short double-helical elements and three loops (D, anti-codon, and T loops). Further hydrogen bonds mediate the characteristic L-shaped molecular structure. tRNAs have two regions of fundamental functional importance: the anti-codon, which is responsible for specific mRNA codon recognition, and the 3' end, to which the tRNAs corresponding amino acid is attached (by aminoacyl-tRNA synthetases). tRNAs cope with the degeneracy of the genetic code in two manners: having more than one tRNA (with a specific anti-codon) for a particular amino acid; and 'wobble' base-pairing, i.e. permitting non-standard base-pairing at the 3rd anti-codon position. Lineage: Eukaryota; Metazoa; Chordata; Mammalia; Artiodactyla; Camelidae. RNAcentral also lists the same sequence under 2 other names. The record is from Rfam by way of RNAcentral.